RNAcentral lists this long non-coding RNA (677 nucleotides) under Medicago truncatula (barrel medic). Its description in RNAcentral is "long non-coding RNA (MTRU_LNC005353)". Lineage: Eukaryota; Viridiplantae; Streptophyta; Magnoliopsida; Fabales; Fabaceae. The record is from RNAcentral.
UAAAUACGAAGACCCAUAAACAAUAAACAAAUUAGGACAAGAAAGAGUUACAAAAAUGCAAUAACAAUCAUCCUACAAUACUCACCAAUCUACAAACAAAAAAGCAUAUUCCCUGCAAGCAAUAAACCUAUUAAGGUGAGAUAACUUGUUGAGGGUGAUGAUAACCUCUUAGUUCAAUCUAUUAUAUAUUACUAAACUAAUUUCACAUCUAAGGGGGCGUUUGUUUUUGGGAAACACAAAUUAUUUCCAGGAAUAACAUACCCGGGAAUGAAAAUAUGAAAAUUUGAUUCUUGAGUAUUUGUUAAAAAAAGUGUUUGGCAAAUAACUUGACAUUCCUGAAAAAAUUGGAAGUUACAAUUUUUUUUUUAAAUCUAUGCAUAAUAUCAUGGGAAUGCACAUUCUCAUCUCUUUACAUGGGAAUAAUGGAAGUUAUGAGAAGUUACUCCAUUCCCAGGAACCUUUAUACCCAGGAAUAUUUUUUUCUCAACCUCAUAACAAACAUGGGUAUAAUCAUUCCCUAGUCAUGUAUUCCCGGAAAUGUCAUUCUUAACCUUGAAACAAACACCCCCUAAAAAAUUUACAAAUAUUGGAGCAGAGAAGGGAAAGAAGCUUUUUACCCUGGUUUCUUCACCGUAAACCUUUCGAACGUGCUUCCCCACCGAGACCUGAUACACCCC